AAGCUUUUAAGGGUUGGUCUGUUCGACCAUUAAAGUCCCACGUGAUCUGAGUUCAGACCGGCGAGAGCCAAGUCAGUUUCUAUCUACGUUAAGGUCUCUC
Molecule: ribosomal RNA, 100 nt
Filed under: Strongylocentrotus purpuratus (purple sea urchin)
Lineage: Eukaryota; Metazoa; Echinodermata; Echinoidea; Camarodonta; Strongylocentrotidae
Description: partial ribosomal RNA
Rfam family: Bacterial large subunit ribosomal RNA (bases 1-87)
Source: RNAcentral